CACUUCCUUUUAAAUGUAUCUCAAACCUACAUUUUUGCCCCCAUUCCCCUCCAUCGCUCUCUAUCUCUCAAUUGCGCUUUCAAAAGUAAAAUUGAAGCAUCGAUUUCUGGCAACACAACCUAUCUUUGAAGCACCGAUUCCAAGAAUCACCGCUUCUUUACCUCCGAAAAUGUCAAAAGCAUGGGCUUAGUUCUCCGGCGACGUGAAGAUAUCUCGCCGAUCAAUGGAAUAAAUGUCUUCUUCGCUUGUAUAAACACACUAAUCUUCCACCUUCAACCGUGAAUCAUCAUCCCUAGAUCUCAAUAAAGAUGCGUUCUAGGGUUUAAACAGAGAAAUUAGGGAUCAAGAUGGAGCCAACAAAAAUAGUAGAUGGAAGUUCGUUAAGGUAAUUUGCAUAAAUCGUUUAUUUCACAUCACGAUUUUGUUUCUUUGUCUCAGAACCUAAAUGGGUUUAAGGGAUCUUGAAGAUUAUUAGAAUGUUUGAUGAAACAAUCUAUAUAAUUUGAUAUUUCUUAUUGAAAUUCUAAGGCUUUGUUUGUUGAUUGUAGCAUGGUUAAUGUUGGAUUUAUUGCAUGUACUUAUGCUGUCAGUAUCACUAUGCCCUCAUUCUUCUUCUUAUGGUUAAAGGCAUUGGGUAUUGAUAAUAUCUUAGGGUUUGAUUGGCUGCAUCACCAUCAUCUGAAUCAAUGGUCAAAGCUCUUCAAGUAUUGUAUUCACUUGGAGUUCUUGAUGAUGAUGCAAAACCUACUUCGCCAGUAGAAUUUCAAGUUGCGGAGCUACCAUUGGUAUAUUAAUCUUAAUCUUUUAUAUCCUCCAUUUAUCUGAAAAACACAUUAUUCAUUAAAAUUAUUCACACAAACUAUGCACCUUAAAAUUGUUGGUUUUAGGAUCCCAUGAUCUCAAAAAUGAUCAUAGCAUCAGAUCAACUUGGAUGUUCUCUGAAGAAAUAAUAAUUCUCUUUGCCGUCCUCUCAGUUCAGUUGAUUUAAUUUGUACCAUGGCCCAUUGUUUCUCAUUCUUAUCUUUAUAGAUUGUUCAUAUUCUAAUAAAUAAAGAUAUAACUUUUCAGUCAAUAUGGAUAUCCGUUAAGGGGCAGAGAGAACUCGAUAAGGCCAAAGUGAGAUUUGUCACAGCCAAGGUGUGUUAUAGUAAGCAUAUUACAUAAAAGCCCUUUGUAUAUGCAACAACUGAAGAGUGGCGGCCUGAUGUCUCACGUUAUGUCCCCCUGAUAUUGAGCUAGAUGGAAGCAGGCUUUUUCCCAUUGACAAGCUCAAUAUCGUGCAGCCCACACCCGGGUGGUGGAGGAGUCUGAGAAUUAGAUGAGGCGGCACAAAUUUGCUGAUAUGUAUGACUCCUUUGGUUCUUUCUAAAUGUGCGAAUUAGGCGGGUUGAAACGGUAUUUUCUUCUUCUAAAGCUUUAAGUUUUUUUUUUAUAAAUAUUACUUUAUCAAAUAUGAUCGUCAUAAUCAUAUUAUACAAUACUAUGCUAUUUUAUUUUAUUUUAUUAAAGUGAUUAAAGAUUUAUGUCAAGGUGACAAAAUGAACGGGUCAGGUCGGGUAACAUGUCAAAAUGUGUUAAAGUUGAAACGUGUAAUUUUAUAGUGAGGGCCAAAAUGCGUUUAGGUUGAAACAAAUAAUUUUAUAUCAUUUGCAGGUGUUAUGUAGAAGGUAUAAUAUCAUUUGCAGGUGAAGCAACUUAAUUGCUUUCCUAAAAAGUUGAUGAUUGUUUCAUUUGUCAAAUGCAUACAUCUAUAUUUCUAUAAAUUAAGGUGUUUGAGAUGGGAAAAUAGCAACGAGAAGGUAUACUAAUUAGUUGUGAUUUCACGCUUCCCCAUGAUUUAUACAUUGCAGUACUACUUACUAUUACUAAUCAACUUGAAGAUCUUUUUUCUCCAUUCUUAAGUUCUAAUAAAUAAUAAGUGAUUCAAAUAUUAUAGGAAAAAUAUAGUUAAUUUUCAAACAACCCAUCAAAUUUAAUUUGUUAUAUGCUAUAGGUUUUGUAAGCUCAAAUGGCGUUUAUUAGGCCAUAUGUUAUGGGGUGCCGUUGAGGCGAGGGCUUGGGGCAAAUUACGGGAGUUAGGAAGGAGAAAAAGAAGGAACCAUGUGGGCGUCGUUGGAAGACGGGAGCGUGGAACCAUAACAUAGAGGCGUUGUUGGAGCGUGGAGCACCUAUUCGUUUGAUUAACUCAAAAUAUAUUAUUAAUUUUCAUGUUUUUUUAUUUACUUAAUAGGGAUACAUCAAAAUAUCCGGUGGAAACUCCCCUAGAGCUCCAACAUUCUUGUCAUGUAAAUGAAUAUCUGAUAACAUUUAUUCAUGAAUCAUAAGUUCAUAAUUUUGUAUUGUUAUUCUUAAUUUCAUUAUUAUUUUAAAGACAUCAAAAGAUGGUAUAUAAUCUUUUAUUUUUGUUGA
Molecule: long non-coding RNA, 2409 nt
Organism: Helianthus annuus (common sunflower)
Lineage: Eukaryota; Viridiplantae; Streptophyta; Magnoliopsida; Asterales; Asteraceae
Exons: 2
Source: RefSeq, a predicted model, not a curated record